Molecule: ribosomal RNA, 277 nt
Filed under: uncultured bacterium
Lineage: Bacteria
Description: partial 16S ribosomal RNA
Rfam family: Bacterial small subunit ribosomal RNA
Source: RNAcentral
AGCGAACGCUGGCGGCAUGCUUAACACAUGCAAGUCGCACGGUCAGCAAUGGCAGUGGCGGACGGGUGAGUAACGCGUAGGAAUUUAUCUUCUGGUGGGGGACAACCGUGGGAAACUACGGCUAAUACCGCAUGAUGCCUGAGGGCCAAAGGUUGCAAGACCGCCUGGAGAGGAGCCUGCGUCUGAUUAGCUUGUUGGUGGGGUAAAGGCCUACCAAGGCUAUGAUCAGUAGCUGGUCUGAGAGGAUGAUCAGCCACAUUGGGACUGAGACACGGCC